GUCAUUGUGGCAGAGCCCGGCUAUUGCGAAAGAUCUAAGCCCUUUCUAAGGAGGUUCAACUCCUUCCAAUGACU
Molecule: transfer RNA, 74 nt
Filed under: Stemonosudis rothschildi (Rothschild's barracudina)
Lineage: Eukaryota; Metazoa; Chordata; Actinopteri; Aulopiformes; Paralepididae
Description: tRNA-Leu
Rfam family: tRNA
About the family: Transfer RNA (tRNA) molecules are approximately 80 nucleotides in length. Their secondary structure includes four short double-helical elements and three loops (D, anti-codon, and T loops). Further hydrogen bonds mediate the characteristic L-shaped molecular structure. tRNAs have two regions of fundamental functional importance: the anti-codon, which is responsible for specific mRNA codon recognition, and the 3' end, to which the tRNAs corresponding amino acid is attached (by aminoacyl-tRNA synthetases). tRNAs cope with the degeneracy of the genetic code in two manners: having more than one tRNA (with a specific anti-codon) for a particular amino acid; and 'wobble' base-pairing, i.e. permitting non-standard base-pairing at the 3rd anti-codon position.
Source: RNAcentral